UACCCCGCUGGAAACUAAAGCAUAUCAAUAAGCGGAGGAAAAGAAAACCAACAGGGAUUGCSUCAGUAACGGCGAGUGAAGCGGCAACAGCUCAAAUUUGAAAUCUGGCCCCCUCGGGGCCCGAGUUGUAAUUUGCAGAGGGUGCUUUGGCGUUGGCUGUGGUCCAAGUUCCCUGGAACAGGACGUCGCAGAGGGUGACAAUCCCGUACGUGGCCGCCAGCCUCCGCCGUGUAAAGCCCCUUCGAAGAGUCGAGUUGUUUGGGAAUGCAGCUCUAAAUGGGAGGUAAAUUCCUUCUAAGGCUAAAUACCGGCCAGAGACCGAUAGCGCACAAGUAGAGUGAUCGAAAGAUUAAAAGCACUUUGGAAAGAGAGUGAAACAGCACGUGAAAUUGUUGAAAGGGAAGCGCUUGCAGCCAGACGUGCCCGAGGGGUUCAGCCGGGGUCCUCCCCGGCGCACUCCCCUCCGGGCAGGCCAGCAUCAGUCUGGGCGGCCGGACAAAGACCUGUUAAACGUGACUCCCCCCGGGGAGAGCUUAUAGGGCAGGCGGCAUACGACCAGCCCAGACUGAGGACCGCGCAUCUGCUAGGAUGCUGGCGUAAUGGCUGUAAGCGGCCCGUCUUGAAACACGGACCAAGGAGUCUAACAUCUAUGCGAGUGUUUGGUCGUCAAAACCGGGCGCGCAAUGAAAGUGAACGCAGGUGGGAGCCCCCCGGGGCGCACCAUCGACCGAUCCUGAUGUCUUCGGAAGGAUUUGAGUAAGAGCAUAGCUGUUGGGACCCGAAAGAUGGUGAACUAUGCCUGAAUAGGGUGAAGCCAGAGGAAACUCUGGUGGAGGCUCGCAGCGGUUCUGACGUGCAAAUCGAUCGUCAAAUUUGGGCAUAGGGGCGAAAGACUAAUCGAACUAUCUARUAGCUGGUUCCUGCCGAAGUUCCCCCCUCCAAGGAAAAAU
This 950-nucleotide ribosomal RNA is filed under the name Teichospora thailandica. RNAcentral's name for it is "partial large subunit ribosomal RNA". It matches the Rfam family "Eukaryotic large subunit ribosomal RNA", at positions 24 to 984 of the family's 3401-position model. The record is from RNAcentral. Lineage: Eukaryota; Fungi; Ascomycota; Dothideomycetes; Pleosporales; Teichosporaceae.